RNAcentral lists this small nuclear RNA (107 nucleotides) under Octodon degus (degu). The record is from RNAcentral. Lineage: Eukaryota; Metazoa; Chordata; Mammalia; Rodentia; Octodontidae.
GUGCUCGCUUUGGCAGCACAUAUACUAAAAUUGGAACAAUACAGAGAAGAUUGGCAUGAUCCCUGCGCAAGGAUGACACGCAAAUCUGUGAAGUGUUUCAUAUUUAA